ACAAACUUGGUCAUUUAGAGGAAGUAAAAGUCGUAACAAGGUCUCCGUUGGUGAACCAGCGGAGGGAUCAUUACAGAGUUAAUCUUCUACUCUUUAACCCAUGUGAACUUACCACUUUGUUGCCUCGGCGGCAUCAAGGCCACAGCGCUGUAACAGGCGCUGGGGCUGGGCCGCCGGUGGACCACUAAACUCUGUUAUACUUGUAUCUCUGAGUAAACUUGAUAAUAAAUCAAAACUUUCAACAACGGAUCUCUUGGUUCUGGCAUCGAUGAAGAACGCAGC
RNAcentral lists this unclassified non-coding RNA (282 nucleotides) under uncultured fungus. Its description in RNAcentral is "partial contains small subunit ribosomal RNA, internal transcribed spacer 1, and 5.8S ribosomal RNA". The stretch from base 1 to 73 matches the Rfam family "Eukaryotic small subunit ribosomal RNA", at positions 1759 to 1831 of the family's 1831-position model. Lineage: Eukaryota; Fungi. The record is from RNAcentral.